This 344-nucleotide unclassified non-coding RNA is filed under the name soil metagenome. Its description in RNAcentral is "partial contains 5.8S ribosomal RNA, internal transcribed spacer 2, and large subunit ribosomal RNA". The stretch from base 1 to 120 matches the Rfam family "5.8S ribosomal RNA", at positions 35 to 154 of the family's 154-position model. The record is from RNAcentral.
GAUGAAGAACGCAGCGAAAUGCGAUACGUAAUGUGAAUUGCAGAAUUCAGUGAAUCAUCGAGUCUUUGAACGCACAUUGCGCCCCCUGGUAUUCCGGGGGGCAUGCCUGUCCGAGCGUCAUUGCUGCCCUCAAGCACGGCUUGUGUGUUGGGCCUCCGUCCUCCUCCCGGGGGACGGGCCCGAAAGGCAGCGGCGGCACCGCGUCCGGUCCUCGAGCGUAUGGGGCUUCGUCACCCGCUCUUGUAGGCCCGGCCGGCGCUUGCCGACACAUCAAUCUUUUUUCCAGGUUGACCUCGGAUCAGGUAGGGAUACCCGCUGAACUUAAGCAUAUCAAUAGCGGAGGA